AGCAGUCGUAAUAGUUCCAGCUCCAAUAGCGUANAUUAAAGUUGUUGCAAUUAAAAAGCUCGUAGUUGAAUUUCGGGAUCAAUGGGUUGGUCAUGCCCUCGGUAUGUACUGAUUUCAUUGGUUCUCACCUUCUAAGGAACCAUGAUGUCAUUCGUUUGAUGUUGUGGGGAAUUAGGACUGUUACCUUGAAAAAAUUAGAGUGUUUAAAGCAGGCUAAUGCUUGAAUACAUUAGCAUGGAAUAAUGAAAUAGGACAUCCGAUUCUAUUUUGUUGGUUUUUAGGAUCGAUGUAAUGAUUAAUAGGGAUAGUUGGAGGCAUUAGUAUUCAAUUGUCAGAGAUGAAAUUCUUGGAUUUAUUGAAGACUAACUACUGCGAAAGCAUUUGCCAAGAAUGUUUUCAUUAAUCAAGAACGAAAGUUAGGGGAUCGAAGACGAUCAGAUACUGUCGUAAUCUUAACCAUAAAUUAUGCCAACUAGGGAUCGGAUGAUGCUUAUUUUUUAAUGACUCA
RNAcentral lists this ribosomal RNA (508 nucleotides) under uncultured Glomus. RNAcentral's name for it is "bacterial SSU rRNA". It matches the Rfam family "Eukaryotic small subunit ribosomal RNA", at positions 569 to 1078 of the family's 1831-position model. Lineage: Eukaryota; Fungi; Glomeromycota; Glomeromycetes; Glomerales; Glomeraceae. The record is from RNAcentral.